UAGGGAAUCUUCCGCAAUGGACGCAAGUCUGACGGAGCAACGCCGCGUGAGUGAAGAAGGUUUUCGGAUCGUAAAACUCUGUUGUAAGAGAAGAACAAAUUGUAGAGUAACUGCUACAGUCUUGACGGUAUCUUACCAGAAAGCCACGGCUAACUACGUGCCAGCAGCCGCGGUAAUACGUAGGUGGCAAGCGUUGUCCGGAUUUAUUGGGCGUAAAGGGGGCGCAGGCUGCUUCUUAAGUCUGAUGUGAAAGCCCACGGCUUAACCGUGGAAGUGCAUUGGAAACUGGGAAGCUUGAGUACAGAAGAGGAAAGUGGAACUCCAUGUGUAGCGGUGGAAUGCGUAAAUAUAUGGAAGAACACCAGUGGCGAAAGCGACUUUCUGGUCUGUCACUGACGCUGAGGCCCGAAAGCGUGGGUAGCAAACAGG
This 429-nucleotide ribosomal RNA is filed under the name Verrucomicrobiota bacterium. Its description in RNAcentral is "Verrucomicrobia bacterium partial 16S ribosomal RNA". It matches the Rfam family "Bacterial small subunit ribosomal RNA", at positions 355 to 776 of the family's 1533-position model. Lineage: Bacteria; Pseudomonadati; Verrucomicrobiota. The record is from RNAcentral.